This is an unclassified non-coding RNA of Macaca mulatta (Rhesus monkey), 148 nucleotides long. It matches the Rfam family "Metazoan signal recognition particle RNA". From Rfam's summary of the family: The signal recognition particle (SRP) is a universally conserved ribonucleoprotein. It is involved in the co-translational targeting of proteins to membranes. The record is from Ensembl. Lineage: Eukaryota; Metazoa; Chordata; Mammalia; Primates; Cercopithecidae.
GCUGGGUGUGGUGGUGCACACCUGUAAUCCCAGCUACUCAGGAGGCUGAGGCAGGAGAAUCACUUGAACCUGGGAGGUGGAGGUUGCAGUGAGUCGAGAUCACACCACUGCCCUCCAGCCUGGGCAAUAAAGCGAGACUUUGUCUCAA